GACGAACGCUGGCGGCGUGCUUAACACAUGCAAGUCGAACGGAAAGGCCCUGCUUUUGUGGGGUGCUCGAGUGGCGAACGGGUGAGUAACACGUGAGUAACCUGCCCUUGACUUUGGGAUAACUUCAGGAAACUGGGGCUAAUACCGGAUAGGAGCUCCUGCUGCAUGGUGGGGGUUGGAAAGUUUCGGCGGUUGGGGAUGGACUCGCGGCUUAUCAGCUUGUUGGUGGGGUAGUGGCUUACCAAGGCUUUGACGGGUAGCCGGCCUGAGAGGGUGACCGGCCACAUUGGGACUGAGAGACGGCCCAGACUCCUACGGGAGGCAGCAGUGGGGAAUAUUGCACAAUGGGAGGAAGCCUGAUGAAGCAACGCCGCGUGCGGGAUGACGGCCUUCGGGUUGUAAACCGCUUUCGCCUGUGACGAAGCGUGAGUGACGGUAAUGGGUAAAGAAGCACCGGCUAACUACGUG
RNAcentral lists this ribosomal RNA (468 nucleotides) under uncultured bacterium. Its description in RNAcentral is "partial 16S ribosomal RNA". It matches the Rfam family "Bacterial small subunit ribosomal RNA", at positions 28 to 507 of the family's 1533-position model. The record is from RNAcentral.